RNAcentral lists this ribosomal RNA (497 nucleotides) under uncultured bacterium. Its description in RNAcentral is "partial 16S ribosomal RNA". It matches the Rfam family "Bacterial small subunit ribosomal RNA", at positions 28 to 507 of the family's 1533-position model. The record is from RNAcentral.
GAUGAACGCUGGCGGCGUGCCUAAUACAUGCAAGUCGAGCGAACAGACGAGGAGCUUGCUCCUCUGACGUUAGCGGCGGACGGGUGAGUAACACGUGGAUAACCUACCUAUAAGACUGGGAUAACUUUGGGAAACCGGAGCUAAUACCGGAUAAUAUAUUGAACCGCAUGGUUCAAUAGUGAAAGACGGUUUUGCUGUCACUUAUAGAUGGAUCCGCGCCGCAUUAGCUAGUUGGUAAGGUAACGGCUUACCAAGGCGACGAUGCGUAGCCGACCUGAGAGGGUGAUCGGCCACACUGGAACUGAGACACGGUCCAGACUCCUACGGGAGGCAGCAGUAGGGAAUCUUCCGCAAUGGGCGAAAGCCUGACGGAGCAACGCCGCGUGAGUGAUGAAGGUCUUCGGAUCGUAAAACUCUGUUAUUAGGGAAGAACAAAUGUGCAAGUAACUAUGCACGUCUUGACGGUACCUAAUCAGAAAGCCACGGCUAACUACGUG